UGACCUGAGUUGGAAGCUUAACCGAUUGAGCCCCUAAAUUGCGCCCCUAAAUUGUGCUUUUUAAAUGGGUAUGGUUUCUGAAUUUUCAGCUCAAUAAAGCUUUUGUUUUUUUUUUUUUUUUUCAAGAUUUUAAAAUUUUUAAAUAAUCUCUACACC
Herpailurus yagouaroundi (jaguarundi) is the source of this 156-nucleotide long non-coding RNA. RefSeq lists it as uncharacterized. Lineage: Eukaryota; Metazoa; Chordata; Mammalia; Carnivora; Felidae. The transcript is spliced from 2 exons. The record is from RefSeq and is a predicted model, not a curated record.